RNAcentral lists this ribosomal RNA (301 nucleotides) under uncultured bacterium. RNAcentral's name for it is "partial 16S ribosomal RNA". It matches the Rfam family "Bacterial small subunit ribosomal RNA", at positions 509 to 807 of the family's 1533-position model. The record is from RNAcentral.
CAGUAGCCGCGGUAAUACGGAAGGUCCAGGCGUUAUCCGGAUUUAUUGGGUUUAAAGGGAGUGUAGGCGGUCUGUUAAGCGUGUUGUGAAAUUUAGGUGCUCAACAUUUAACUUGCAGCGCGAACUGGCGGACUUGAGUGCACGCAACGUAUGCGGAAUUCAUGGUGUAGCGGUGAAAUGCUUAGAUAUCAUGACGAACUCCGAUUGCGAAGGCAGCGUUCGGGAGUGUUACUGACGCUUAAGCUCGAAGGUGCGGGUAUCGAACAGGAUUAGAUACCCGGGUAGUCCCUGUCUCUUAUAC